RNAcentral lists this ribosomal RNA (253 nucleotides) under uncultured bacterium. RNAcentral's name for it is "partial 16S ribosomal RNA". It matches the Rfam family "Bacterial small subunit ribosomal RNA", at positions 524 to 776 of the family's 1533-position model. The record is from RNAcentral.
UACGUAGGGAGCAAGCGUUGUCCGGAAUCAUUGGGCGUAAAGAGCGCGUAGGCGGUCCGGUAAGUCGGUUGUGAAAACUGGGGGCUCAACCCUCAGAGGCCGACCGAUACUGCCGGGCUAGAGUCCGGAAGAGGCGAGUGGAAUUCCUGGUGUAGCGGUGAAAUGCGCAGAUAUCAGGAGGAACACCAAUUGCGAAGGCAGCUCGCUGGGACGGUACUGACGCUGAGGCGCGAAAGCGUGGGGAGCAAACAGG